RNAcentral lists this ribosomal RNA (253 nucleotides) under uncultured bacterium. Its description in RNAcentral is "partial 16S ribosomal RNA". It matches the Rfam family "Bacterial small subunit ribosomal RNA", at positions 524 to 776 of the family's 1533-position model. The record is from RNAcentral.
UACGAAGGGAGCUAGCGUUGUUCGGAAUUACUGGGCGUAAAGCGUGCGCAGGCGGUUUUGUAAGUCUGUCGUGAAAUCCCCGGGCUCAACCUGGGAAUUGCGAUGGAGACUGCAAGGCUAGAAUCUGGCAGAAGGGGGUAGAAUUCCACGUGUAGCAGUGAAAUGCGUAGAGAUGUGGAGGAACACCGAUGGCGAAGGCAGCCCCCUGGGUCAAGAUUGACGCUCAUGCACGAAAGCGUGGGGAGCAAACAGG